RNAcentral lists this long non-coding RNA (580 nucleotides) under Vigna radiata. Its description in RNAcentral is "long non-coding RNA (VRAD_LNC004402)". The record is from RNAcentral. Lineage: Eukaryota; Viridiplantae; Streptophyta; Magnoliopsida; Fabales; Fabaceae.
GGUACUGGAAGCAGAGAAACUAUCUUCUGAUGAACAUAUGCAAGAUUGUCUUUUGCGUUUAUCGUGGGCUCUUGUGCACUCCAAACAUCCCCAAGAUGUGCACCGUGGGAUAGCCAUGCUUGAAGGUCUCUCUCUUUUACUCUUUCAUAAUGCUAUGCAAUUAUAAUUCUAUGUAUGUAUCCGAGUCCCACACCGGGAUCCUUAGGAUAUUUUCCUCUAAUAUAUAAACUGGUAAUACUGAUUUUAAUUUGGAUUCACAUUAUAGUAAACAUAUGUUUAUUAUGAUUUUUAGAAUUUGUGUACAAUGUUCAAUAUAUUGUUCAAUAUGCAUAAAUAUCGUGUUCUAUUAUUUUAAAUAAACAUAUGGCAUAUUAGAUCACUUAUUGUAUGUGAUGCAGGUAUGUAUAUCUGUGCAUUAUAGGUAUGUAUGUUCUGUGUUGAUUGAUAGUAAAAUAACAUGUAUGUAUGUAUGCAUGUAUGUGUUUACAUGAAAAUGGCAGCAUCUUUACCUUCUACAAAGGACCCACUGCAGCAAAGGGAGAAGCUUUAUCUUCUGGCUGUUGGAUACUUUAGAAAUGCU